CCUACGGGUUGCAGCAGUGGGGAAUAUUGGACAAUGGGGGCAACCCUGAUCCAGCAAUGCCGCGUGUGUGAAGAAGGCCUUCGGGUUGUAAAGCACUUUUAUCGGGAACGAAACAUUGUCGGCCAAUACCCGGCAAGACUGACGGUACCCGAGGAAUAAGCACCGGCUAACUCCGUGCCAGCAGCCGCGGUAAUACGGAGGGUGCAAGCGUUAAUCGGAAUUACUGGGCGUAAAGCGUGCGCAGGCGGUUUGUUAAGUCUGCUGUGAAAUCCCCGAGCUCAACUUGGGAAUUGCAGUGGAUACUGGCAAGCUGGAGUAUGGUAGAGGAAGGUGGAAUUCCCGGUGUAGCAGUGAAAUGCGUAGAGAUCGGGAGGAACACCAGUGGCGAAGGCGGCCUUCUGGACCAAUACUGACGCUCAUGCACGAAAGCGUGGGGAGCAAACAGGAUUAGAUACCCGCGUAGUC
RNAcentral lists this ribosomal RNA (465 nucleotides) under uncultured bacterium. Its description in RNAcentral is "bacterial SSU rRNA". It matches the Rfam family "Bacterial small subunit ribosomal RNA", at positions 338 to 795 of the family's 1533-position model. The record is from RNAcentral.